Long non-coding RNA from Oncorhynchus masou masou (cherry salmon), 271 nucleotides. RefSeq lists it as uncharacterized. The transcript is spliced from 2 exons. The record is from RefSeq and is a predicted model, not a curated record. NCBI's taxonomy places the organism in Eukaryota, Metazoa, Chordata, Actinopteri, Salmoniformes, Salmonidae.
GACAACGACCCUAAGCACACAGUCAAGACAACGCAGGAGUGGCUUCGGGAGAAGUCUCUGAAAGCCUGGACUUGAACCCGAUCGAACGUCUCCGGAAAGAUCUGAAAAUAGCUGUGCAGCGGCGCUCCCCAUCCAACCUGACAGAGCUUGAGAGGAUCUGCAGAGAAGAGUGAAGAGUAGCUGCUGCCUUGGUGUUGCUGGACCCCAGGAAGAGUAGCUACUGCCUUGGUGUUGCUGGACCCCAGGAAGAGUAGCUGCUGCCUUGGUGUUG